UGCAUUUGCAACCUGAGCUCAGACGUGAUUACCCGCUGAACUUAAGCAUAUCAUUUAGCGGAGGAAAAGAAACUAACUAGGAUUCCUUAUACG
RNAcentral lists this ribosomal RNA (93 nucleotides) under Heterorhabditis sp. EPNKU26. RNAcentral's name for it is "partial 28S ribosomal RNA". It matches the Rfam family "Eukaryotic large subunit ribosomal RNA", at positions 1 to 88 of the family's 3401-position model. The record is from RNAcentral. Lineage: Eukaryota; Metazoa; Nematoda; Chromadorea; Rhabditida; Heterorhabditidae. RNAcentral also lists the same sequence under 1 other name.